GGGAAAUGAGAUUUAGAGUUUGGAAUUCCAGAUCCGACUUUUGAUUCAAGCCAAACUGCAGAUGUUUUUAAAGUAUUCGACUUAAACUAAGACUUCAUUAGCAUAAUCGUGUCCCUGAUGGUCUAGUGGCUAGGAAUCUGCGCUCUCACCGCCGCGGCCCGGGUUCAAUUCCCGGUCAGGGAAUUCAGAUAUAAAGUAUUGAAUUCCAGAUCAGGGAAUUCCAGCUCCAACUUUUAAUUCAAGCCAAACUGCAGAUGUUUUUAAAGUAUUCGACUCAAACUAUGACUUCAUUUGCAUAAUUGUGUCCCUGAUGGUCUAGUGGCUAGGAUUCGGCGCUCUCACCGCCGCGGCCCGGAUUCAAUUCCCGGUCAGGGAAAUCAGAUUUAGAGUAUUGAAUUCCAGAUCCAACUUUUAAUUCACGCUUAAACUGCAGAUGUUUUUAAAGUUUUCGACUUAAACUAAGACUUCAUUAGCAUAAUCAUGUCCCUGAUGGUCUAGUGGCCGGGAUUUGGCGCUCUCACCGCCGCGGCCCGGGUUCUAUUCCCGGUCAGGGAAAUCAGAUAUAAAGUGUUAAAUUCCUGGUCAGGGCCGUUGAAGCUCUAAAUUUUAAUUCAAGCCAAACUACAGAUGUUUUUAAAGCAUUCGACUUAAACUAUGACUCCAUUUGCAUAAUUGUGUCCCUGAUGGUCUUGUGGCUAGGAUUUGGCGCUUUCACCGCCGCGGCCCGGGUUAAAUUCCCGGCCAGGGAAACGAGAUUUAGAGUUUGGAAUUCCAGAUCCGACUUUUAAUUCAAGCCAAACAGCAGAUGCUUUUAAAGUUUUCGACUUAAAUUAAUACAUCAUUAGCAUAAUCAUGUCCCUGAUGGUCUAGUGGCUAGGAUUUGGCGUUCUCACUGCCGCGGCCCGGGUUCAAUUCCCGGUCACGGAAAUGAGAUUUAGAGUUUGGAUUUCCAGAUCCAACUUUUGAUUCAAGCGAAACUACAGAUGUUUUUAAAGUUUUCGACUUAAACUAAGACUUCAUUUGCAUAAUUGUGUCACUGAUGGUCUAGUGGCUAGGAUUCGGCGCUCUCACCGCUGCGGCCCGGGUUCAAUUCCCGGGAAGGGAAAUCAUAUAUAAAGUGUUAAAUUCCUGGUCAGGGAAUUCAAGCUUUAACUUUUAAUUCAAGCCAAACUGCAGAUGUUUUUAAAGUAUUCGACUUAAACUAAGACUUCAUUAGCAUAGUCAUGUCCCUGAUGGUCUAGUGGCUAGGAUUUGGCGCUUUCACCGCCGCGGCCCGGGUUCAAUUCCCGGUCAGGGAAAUGAGAUUUAGAUUUUGGAAUUCCAGAUCCAACUUUUA
Long non-coding RNA from Gasterosteus aculeatus aculeatus (three-spined stickleback), 1336 nucleotides. The record is from Ensembl. NCBI's taxonomy places the organism in Eukaryota, Metazoa, Chordata, Actinopteri, Perciformes, Gasterosteidae.